Molecule: ribosomal RNA, 370 nt
Filed under: uncultured organism
Description: partial 16S ribosomal RNA
Rfam family: Bacterial small subunit ribosomal RNA
Source: RNAcentral
GUAGGUGGCAAGCGUUGUCCGGAAUUAUUGGGCGUAAAGCGCGCGCAGGCGGUCCUUUAAGUCUGAUGUGAAAGCCCACGGCUCAACCGUGGAGGGUCAUUGGAAACUGGGGGACUUGAGUACAGAAGAGGAAAGCGGAAUUCCAAGUGUAGCGGUGAAAUGCGUAGAGAUUUGGAGGAACACCAGUGGCGAAGGCGGCUUUCUGGUCUGUAACUGACGCUGAGGCGCGAAAGCGUGGGGAGCAAACAGGAUUAGAUACCCUGGUAGUCCACGCCGUAAACGAUGAGUGCUAAGUGUUAGGGGGUCUCCGCCCCUUAGUGCUGCAGCUAACGCAUUAAGCACUCCGCCUGGGGAUACGGCCGCAAGGCUG